GGGCCGCUAGCUCAACUGGCAGAGCAGCUGACUCUUAAUCAGCGGGUUAUAGGUUCGAGUCCUAUGCGGCUCA
Molecule: transfer RNA, 73 nt
Filed under: Chloroflexota bacterium
Lineage: Bacteria; Bacillati; Chloroflexota
Description: Chloroflexi bacterium (sediment metagenome) tRNA-Lys
Rfam family: tRNA
About the family: Transfer RNA (tRNA) molecules are approximately 80 nucleotides in length. Their secondary structure includes four short double-helical elements and three loops (D, anti-codon, and T loops).
Source: RNAcentral